Dreissena polymorpha is the source of this 4332-nucleotide long non-coding RNA. RefSeq lists it as uncharacterized. NCBI's taxonomy places the organism in Eukaryota, Metazoa, Mollusca, Bivalvia, Myida, Dreissenidae. The transcript is spliced from 4 exons. The record is from RefSeq and is a predicted model, not a curated record.
GUAGCGUAAAAGAUGCAAGACCCGUAAAAUCUGCAAGUUCCGGUUCCGGUCAUGUGAAUUUUACGCUAGGCUCUGUAAAAAGGGCAAGACCCGUAAAAAGUGCAAGUCGUAUAUUGUUUUGCAAUGACUUUGGUAUUUAAUUGGAGAAAAACAUCACUAAUAAAGAGUGUGAAUGGGCCGACGUUCGUUUCUUCAAGAUUGGGCAAAAAAACAUUACCAUGCGGUUCGCAGUGCACAGGCUACUGUCCCCCUUCAAGAGCACCCAGGUCAUACAAGCUGAACACGGUUGACCUGCACACCUAACAGUGGAAAUAAUGAAACAAGUGAUCACACAUCCACCCACUUUCUGCCCGGAACAACAGGAGUGCAUCCGUUUUCUGGAGGCGUAGACAGUGCUGAAAAACCCCUGAGCCUAGUCAAUGGGUGGACAUCGUAACCUCAACGACCGGCAACUUAAUUUUGCAGGAUUACAGAGUAGUAAUUUACCAUAUGCUAUAAGUAGGAUACUGACUUAGGAUGGGAGAAUUCGGUUGAACUAAUAUGGUGUAAAUCCAUAUUACUUAAAAGCAUUUAUCCAAAUUUUAGGUACAUGUUCCUCAUAAUGUGUAUUAAUAUCGUAAUACUUUUAUAUUUUUCAUAAUACGUUUCGUCAUUAACAAAAAUUGUUAAGUUCAUACAAUGAAAUAAAACAACCUGUCUGAUUGUGUUUAAAUAUAUAGUCUCAUUAAUUCUAGACAUGUGCAGGUAUUGAUGGAUGCAUCUGAUGUAUAACAAUCGUUACAUGUUAAUUAUUUUAUUGAAAUACUGAUUUCAAUGCAUGCAUUGAUGAUGUCACUCAUUCAAUUGACCUGUUCAAAUUUUAUUUUAAAUAGAUAUAAUUAUAUUAAACUGUGUUUGCAUCAGAUUGUAUGUUUUGUGUAAGCAUUAUGUAAGCAUUAGUUUGAAAUGGUUGUUUAGUUUCAGAUUUAUUUAUAUUGCCCCAAAAAGGGUUUUUUCAAACUAUUGUCAUUGUGUCUGUCUGUCGGCAAUUUUGGUUUUGGUAACUCAGCUGUUUUCAUUAAUAUUUCUGGUAACGGUACUAGGCCACGAUCAAUAACAAUUAAAAGAAAUUUUUUAGUUGUUUAAAUAUUCAUUUAUUUUGUUUUGGGGGUGUUAGAGUUCGGGACUAAAAGAGGCGUUUUGCUGUACAGCCUGAAAAGUCAAUAAGGUUACUAUAUUUGUAUUAAUUACAUUUAAUGUAAUUCAUUUAAGUUAGCUACGGGUCCCCCAGCUGAACAGAUGUGAAACUGUAUUUUCUGCUCGAUGGCAGGGGUGUCAUUGGCGCCAACCAACUCUUUGUUGCCCGCAUUACAUGUCCAUUUUAUAACUUUUUUUGUUUUGUUUUUUCAUGUAGAGGCACUUGUUUUUCAAUGAAUGGUACUGCUAUGAGAACUUUGCUGUGCAACCCAUACAUACAUGUACAUAUUGCUCUUCAAGGGCUGCCCUUACUGGCAGACCACAGCACUUCAGGUGGUACCACCUGCAACACACAGAACAUUGUACCCAUCGCUGUGUUCCUGAUGAAACGCUGCAAUUGGGCAUAUCACACAUAGUGUCGUCUGCUUCUUUGCUGUGUUGCAGAAUCCGUUCCCUGAGAUAAUUCCUGUAUUCUUGACAGUGAACCUACCGCAUUAUUUCAUGGGGAACCCCAAGAGCAAUGGCUUCAGCAUUCUGGAAAAAAAUAGCGUACAUAACAACAGUUAAAUUGAGGGCUCCAAUAAUUGUUUUAAACAAAACUGAACAUGGCUACUUUAUAUGAACGUUAAAUUGCCACCAUACUGCUACUUUAAAACCUGAACAAGACAGGUAUAAAUUCCUGUUGGUUAAGGAUAGGAAUCAGUCAAACCUAAUUUGUAUUCUACACAUUACCAUGUACUAACUUCAACCAUCAAAUGUCCAGCUUCUUGUCAUUAACUGAAAUGACUGUAAUUGGGGCCUGUUUAUUUUAUUCUAUUUAUGUCGAAAAGGCAGCAUAUUUUGAUAUGCAUGAACAUACCAUUAAUGUGAAUACUCCGCAAGAGUUGCUGUCCUUUUGCUUGUUACUCUGCAUGGGACUGUAUGUCCAAGGACCAAGUUGCUCCUUAACAUUGUCAGCCUUGUUUUUCUUAGAUCAAAGAAUUGGCUGCAGUAAAAAACAAAACACAUUAGAGUCAUCACUCAUACGCCAAUCUAUAAACAAAAGAAGGCAACUGUAUCAAGGAUUUUGUAAGAAUUACAGCCCUUUGUCCUUUUUGAAUAUGCAUAUGAUUGAUAAUUCUACAUUAAAGGUUAAAACAACUGUUUCAAGCACUUUGUAAGAAUUAUGGCCCUUUUUCCACUUAGAAUAUGCAUACUAUUGAAUCUAUGUAAAUGUUUGCAUACCACCUCAAAUAUUUUCAAUGUCCCUUGACAUAUUGCUUUUAUAGUUUGUUUCAUUAACAGUAUUUUUCAUAAUUGCUUGCCUUUUUUUCCGAAUUGUAAAACUUACUGGUAGAAAGUAAUUAUUGUUUUAUUCUCUUAUUUCCUACUCUUUUAACCAAGCUGGAAUAAUUUAGUGAUAAAAAUAUAUGAUGAUAAUUCUCAUAGUUUUUUUGUUUUAUUUCGAUAAAUAACAACAAUUCUAACAACUAUUUUUGUUUAACCCCAAACAGACUUAAGGAGAAUUGCACUUACCCCCAGAGAUUCAGCCACUUAAAGUUUUGGUGGUGUAAUGAAUCUAAGAUUGACACUGUCUUUUCCUUGGGUUUUGCCACAAGAAAGAUCCAGUGAUUGCCAUGGCUGUUGAUAGGCAUCAGCAGAAGCUUUGUAGUUGGAGAAGUGUUCCUUCAUAAAAAGACGUUACUGAAUUUAACAUUAUGCUGCCACAACAUUGUCCAGAUCUCUCUUAAAUGUCAUUUCACAAUUGUGAAAUAGUCAAUAUGUGUAACAUAGGUACAUAUAUGCUUCUGUGUACAAUAACAUAUUGCAGGGGAAUUGAUGUCUGUUGGACAUAGAAUUUUUAAUGUAUCAUGUAUGAGAGACAUGUGCUCAUGAUCAGAUUGGAUAUGUGUUAGUAACGGCUACUUGAAGUUAUUCCAAGAAGGUAUUUCUAGAGUUUAGAAAUGGCAAUGCUCUAUAUACUGAUGUGUGUUAACAUUUAAACUUGUGCAAAAUGUAGAAACUGUUAACCGUGAAUAAAUCAUAAUCUUUCUUUUGUGUUUUGUUAUUUGUGUUGCCUAAACGUGCUUUGCUUACAUAUAUUAAUGAUUGCUUUGUAUUUUUUGUUUCAGUAAGCCUUCUGUGCAAGGUCAUGAGGUGAAACCUGGAUAUCAUUUUUUCACAAAAUGAGGGGGACAAGGCCGCUUCACAAAAAACAGGAAGAGAAGUCAUGUACUAUCAUGUCCAAAUAUGCAUUUUUUGUUGUAAAAUAUCCAAGUCAACAUUUUAAAGCGAGAUUAUACGAUUUUUAUAUGUGUUAAAUUUUGAUAUAUUGAUACAAAUAUGUUAUAAUAACACACAAUAUGCAAGAAAAAUGAUACAUUUAAGACGAAUUUCAUAAAAUACAGCAAAAACAAAUUAUCUCCCGAGCCUAAUGUGAAAAAGAUAAUUCGUACAUAUUUUCCUGUAAUAACCGAUGCAUUCGUCUUUUUAGUAAGUGUUCGGGUGUCGUAUGAACCAAUAUUGAUGCAGUAUUUCAAAUGAACAGUUAAACUAAAUUUAGAUUCACAUCGUACAUGCAUGAUAUACAUGCUGGCGAAUUCGGCUGUACAGCCUUUUUCGAUUUCAGAAUUAAAUAUCUGGCUUAUUUAGCAUUUUUGCGACACAUGUUCUUCUUAUCUUUUAUUUUAGUUUAUAUUGAAAUAUAUGUAUAAUAAGUUUUUUACUUAUUUUAUAUUAAUUAAUAAAUAUUUGACAAGAUCAUAUAUACCCGCUUUAUGGUGCUAAAUGGUUAAUAUUUCCCACACAUAAAGCUUAGUUAUCAUGGUGUUGUUCAUAAACAGGCACUCAUCUGUUAGAAGCCAUUUUUCUAACAUAGUUUCACUUAAAAAAUUCUUAUAAAAAGAUACAUUUGGGGCUAUAAAAUUUGCAAGUUUAGCCAAAAAAUUUGCAAGUUUGGCCAUUAAAUAUGCAAGUCAAUAUUUCUUUGUGCUUAACUUACCAACUGUUCAUCUGUUUUUAAAACCAAUAAAGCUCAUUUAUGUUAUUUAUUAUAAAGGUUAUCAAAGACUGAAACUAACUUUCAUGGAUACUUCAGGUUAGAAUAUAGUUGUUGUUUUUUUGUUCAAAUGUGUAUUUUAAAGGGACUGUCAACCACAAAUGACGAAAAAAGAAAAG